CCUACGGGAGGCAGCAGUGGGGAAUAUUGCACAAUGGGGGAAACCCUGAUGCAGCGACGCCGCGUGAGUGAAGAAGGAUUUCGGUACGGAAAGCUCUAUCAGCAGGGAAGAAAAUGACGGUACCUGACUAAGAAGCCGCGGCUAACUAGGUGCCAGCAGCCGCGGGAAGACGGAGGGGGCAAGCGGUAGCCGGAUUUACUGGGUGUAAAGGGAGCGUAGCCGGCAGGGCAAGUCUGGAGUGAAAGCCAAUGGCUUAACCCUGGAACGGCUUUGGAAACUGUGCAGCUAGAGUGCAGGAGCGGUAAGCGGAAUUCCUAGUGUAGCGGUUAAAUGCUUAGAUAUUAGGCGGAACACCAGUGGCGAAGGCGGCUUACUGGACUGUACCUGACGUUGCGGCUCGAAAGCGUGGGGCGCAAACCGGAUUAGAUACCCGAGUAGUC
RNAcentral lists this ribosomal RNA (440 nucleotides) under uncultured bacterium. RNAcentral describes it as "partial 16S ribosomal RNA". It matches the Rfam family "Bacterial small subunit ribosomal RNA", at positions 338 to 795 of the family's 1533-position model. The record is from RNAcentral.